AAUAUUCUGCGUACUCUUCUUCUUCAAGCCUCCAUGCCCCCUGUUUAUUGGGCAGAAGCUCUUCGCACCGCAACCUACCUCUUAAACAUCAGACCAACUACUAAACAACCUCACACCACUCCAUUCUUCUCUCUUCAUCAGACAGUUCCACCCUAUGCCUCCUUACAGGUUUUUGGAUGUCUCUGUUAUCCCAACAUCAGCGCAACUACUCCCCACAAAUUAGCUUCUCGAUCCAUUCCUUGCAUUUUUCUCGGUUAUCCUAGUGAGCAUCGUGGUUAUCGCUGUCUUUAUCCAGCCUCUGGUCGUGUCCUUAUAUCUCGGCAUGUUACCUUCGAUGAAAAUACUUUUCCCUUCACUCACGUCACCAAAUCGCUUCCGCAACCACAGCCCACUCCUUCUUCUCCUGCUCAUUCUCCUAUUUUCCUCUCAUCUCCACUACAUCCUACUCCAACCAGCCCUACCACCGUUCCCAUACAGCCCACACUAGCUCCCUCCAAUACAUCCUCAUGUCCUACCUCUCCUGCCUCUGCCCAUGACAAUACCUCUCCAUCUUCAUCUUCCUCUGAUUCCCCGUCCACACCCCCACCUUUGCCUACCAAUGCCAUUCCUGCUGUUCCUCCCUCUAAUCCUCAUAAAAUGCAGACUCGUGCUAAGGAUGGUUAUCGCAUUCCUGCUCGCCGCCUCAACCUUAGUGCCACCACCAACUCUAUA
This 711-nucleotide ribosomal RNA is filed under the name Triticum aestivum (bread wheat). RNAcentral describes it as "partial small subunit ribosomal RNA". Lineage: Eukaryota; Viridiplantae; Streptophyta; Magnoliopsida; Poales; Poaceae. The record is from RNAcentral.